RNAcentral lists this ribosomal RNA (403 nucleotides) under uncultured bacterium. RNAcentral's name for it is "partial 16S ribosomal RNA". It matches the Rfam family "Bacterial small subunit ribosomal RNA", at positions 28 to 526 of the family's 1533-position model. The record is from RNAcentral.
GACGAACGCUGGCGGCGUGCCUAAUACAUGCAAGUCGAACGCAGUGGGGACGGGCGAGUAACACGUGGGUAACCUCUCCUCAGAGUGGAUAACACUUGGAAACAGGUUCCAAACCGAUAUCGCUGGAUGGACCCGUUGUGCAUUAGCUAGUUGGUGAGGUAACGGCUAACCAAGGCAACGAUGCAUAGCUGACGUGAGAGGGAGUACAGUCACACUGGGACUGAGACACGGCCCAGACUCCGACGGGAGGCAGCAGUGGGUAAUCUGCGGCAAUGGAGGAAAGUCUGACCGAGCGACGCCGCGUGAAGUAAGAAGGCUGUCGGGUCGUAAAGCUCUGUUGUUAGAGAAGCGGUAUCUAAAGAGAGAGCCACGGCUAACUACGUGCCAGCAGCCGCGGUAAUUC